RNAcentral lists this ribosomal RNA (292 nucleotides) under uncultured bacterium. Its description in RNAcentral is "partial 16S ribosomal RNA". It matches the Rfam family "Bacterial small subunit ribosomal RNA", at positions 505 to 796 of the family's 1533-position model. The record is from RNAcentral.
GUGUCAGCAGCCGCGGUAAGACGUAGGAUGCGAGCGUUGUCCGGAAUUAUUGGGCGUAAAGCGUACGUAGGCGGUCAUCUAAGUCUGGGGUUAAAGACCAAGGCUCAACCUUGGGAGUGCCCUGGAUACUGGGUGACUGGAGGACGGCAGAGGAAAGUGGAAUUCCCAGUGUAGCGGUGAAAUGCGUAGAUAUUGGGAGGAACACCAGUGGCGAAAGCGACUUUCUGGGCCGUUCCUGACGCUGAGGUACGAAAGCCAGGGGAGCAAACGGGAUUAGAUACCCUCGUAGUCC